AAUAAUUCCUGUUGUUUUGUAUUACAUUGUUUGAUAGGGGACCUACCUAUGAGGGAGCUAGGUUAUGAACUUUUAUUGCUACUUUAAUUAAUAACUGCUAUGUUUCAUGAGUUUACAGUGUGGAUAGAGUUAGUGUGUCUCAAUCUAGAAAGUGAUUAAAGAGAAACAGAUAAUGAUUCUAAUUACUUAGAAAUUUAACUCUGAGUCAGUUGUCACAUGGAGAAGCCAUUUUACUUCACUGUAACACUGUGCAUUUGCCAUUAUUGUGGGGUUUUUUUUUGGGGGGGGCAUAUUCUCUACACUUACAUAAGAUGGCUAUUUUAUGUAAAAUUUCAGGUAGAUUAAUAAAGGUCUAAAAAUUCAAGUGUAUAAUAAAUACUGUCUGGUAAACUACAAGUACUUCUAAGUAAAAUCAGUCUUGAGCUUGGUUUGCAAUUGUUCAUCCUUUCCUAUGUAAUCUUUUCCUUUACAACAAAAAUAUGAGCAUUUCAUUUGCUCAUCUGUUCACCAAUUGGAUAUUCAUGCAUUCCUACUGUACACCGAGCAUGAUUCUGGGCAUUGGAAAUGGCGUGGUGAAUCAGAGAGUUUUUCGGCUAUGAGGCAAGCACCCCUACCAGGGACUGAACCUGCACCCCCAGCGUUGGAAGAUGAAGUUGUCACCGCUGGACCGCCAGACAAGUCCAACUAGAUAUAUUCCUUUGGAUUUAAAGAUAGGUGAAAAACAGGAAGGAAUCACUGGAAGCAAGAAUGGAGAUCUCACAGUGAGUUUUGGAGGCCAGGGGAGAGCCUGUAACCCGUGGGUAUUUUUUCUUGCCUAAAGGCUUUCACAUUCCACCAAAGAAACUGCAUAUGGUAGUGUUGUUGGGGAGCCCAUUCAACAGACUUAUGGAAAAAUCUAUGGGAUCAUUCUAUUGCAAAUUACUCAGUUGCCAGAAUUCCUUUCUAGAACAAAGUAGAAUAGAAAUGCAUAAACAGGCCUCUGGGUCACCUCACAGAAAGACUGGCGUUCACGGCAGCAUCAAGUCACUGACUUCCCUCAAAGGAGAAGCAGCAAGCUGGCGUGGGACUACAGACCCUGGGGGAGAGCUGGAGGAGAGGUCCCAAAGAUGUCAUCGCCAGGCUACUCAGUGCCCCCAAAUCAGAAUUUCCUGGAAUGUCAGAUGAAAGGAAAACUUCAGUGCCCAUCAGAUAAGUUUCUCAAAGAAGAAGUCAAUGAAGAGGUAUAAGAUGAAUGCUCUGGACUAAUUGGAUAAAAUAAAAUAUGUGCAACAGCAUGCUUCUCCAGAGUCUUAAAAGGUAUUCUGCACUUAAAAGCAAAUAUUCAGUGCUCUGCAUGCAUUUAAAAUAUGAAUAAUUACUAUAGAAGAAUGUUUGAUUUUUAUGUCAUGAGAUUUUGUAAUAUUUUAUGCUUUAAAAAUGUUUACAGGAUUUUAAAAAUAAUUUUAUUGUUUUAAUCACUAAAAAAUGAAUGGAAACACAAAAAUUGUAUCUAUGAUUUAUAAAUAAUAGUGAAAAAUAUUUUUUCCUAAAUGUUGACAUUUAACUAUUUCAUUCUUAUAAUUUGUGAAUUUCCUUGUUUGUUCUCUAAUUUGUCAUUAAAUAUUGGAAUUCCUCUUUAAGCUGUAUACUUGUAAAUAAGGGAAUGCUCCCUAAAAUCAAAAGGAUGCCCUUGACUAUUAUUUUAUUGCUGGUUCUGAUACGUUCACAACUGUAGACUGUAUCAGUUUAGUUCAGCCACUCAGUCAUGUCCGACCCUUUGCAACACCAUGGACUGCAGCAUGCCAGGCCUCCCUGUCCAUCACCAAUUCCCGGAGCUUGAGUAAACUC
Bubalus bubalis (water buffalo) is the source of this 1827-nucleotide long non-coding RNA. RefSeq lists it as uncharacterized. Lineage: Eukaryota; Metazoa; Chordata; Mammalia; Artiodactyla; Bovidae. The record is from RefSeq and is a predicted model, not a curated record. The transcript is spliced from 7 exons.